ACGACUAUAAUCAUUAAACUGACUGUUUUUUCCUAACUUAUUAUCACAGCCAAAAUUACAUAUAAGCAGUGUGUUUCUUGAAGUGUUGAAGUCAAGGUGCUUUUGUAUAAAUGUAGGGUGAUUAAUAAGAGCAUACCAUGAUUUCGAAACACACUUACAUCUUACAAGUGCCUUAACUUGAGUCCUGUAGAGUAUUUCAAGAACAAGAGCUGCUGGAAGUGUCUUUACAGUGAUGGUUUUGUUCUUCUCAGCUGCUGAUGGGGUUGAGUGAUGUUGGGGUUUGGGGGGUUUGUGAUAUCUUUUCUUUGCUUUUCCAUUUUUCACCAUUUUUUGACUUCACGGGAGCUCUAGGGUUUAAGGGGUGUUUGUUUUAAUACAGAGAAAUGGGAGUUUUAAGUUCAGUUCUGCUAUCUUCAAGUAGUAACUUCUGACAAGUGAGAGUUAAUGUGAACGACGCUCCAAGUUCCCAGAUUAAGACCCCGUUUGGUUAUAUUAAAGCAAUAAGUUUAGAUAUAUUUAUUUUUUAUUUACGGGGAUGGUAAAUAGCAGGGAUGUACGUGGUGCGAUUUGCACCUAAAAUCGCAAUUGAAAUCACAUGCAUGAAGUUUCUAAAAUGAAAAUCGAAACCAAACCAAAUAUUAUUGGUGUGGUUCGGUUUAUAAAUAAUUGAGCAGUUCUCAUAUGAUGCAGUUCGGUUUUCAAAUAAUGAAAAGUCCGAAAAAAUAAAAAUUAUGAUAUCAACACAUCACAUCAGGGAGAAAACACAUAAAUAAGAUAUCAUUGAAGGAUAAAAGCUGGCAGCAUUCAAAUCUUUGACACACUGAGCAAGUUCUUCUCAUCUUUGGCAUUAAAAAUAAGAUAUAGAAAUUAAUAAUCGAUAUAUUUGAUUAUUCGAGGGAAAUCAACAAUAUACAAGAAAACAGUUAUUUCUAGCUAACCAGAACAAGUAAAUGGUGGUGUUUGGCGGGCAAAUAUAAGCCGACUUCUGGGCUUAUAAGUUAUAAGCACUUAUUUGUACUAUUUGUGUAAAAAGUAGAGAAGCACUUAAAAAAAGUUAGGAUUACUAGUUUUUGUCUCAGGACUUCUGCUUAUUUGCCAAACAGUUUAAUCACUUAUAAGUCUUAACUUGCUUAUGACUUCUACUUCACUUUUGUAUUUAAGCAAAAAGCACUUAUUUUAAACUCACUCAAACGGCCUCAAUAUUUCUAGCUUUCUAUUACAUGCAUGAAUGACAAUUUAAAAUGCACACCAGAUCAUUAUAAUUAUUCUGCCGCUUUGCCUAAGAAUAGUGCCAGAGGCACAGAGUUAUACCAAAUGAAGUCACAGGGGACUGGGGGCAGGUUGUGUAUAAAAAUCACAUACUUAAACAUAUAUUAUAUAAUACAUAUAAUUUAUUUAUUAUAUUUAAACAUAUAAAAUAAAUAAUUAAAUAAAUAUAAAUAUUAUUGCGGUUCUAUUCGGCUUUAAAAAUUUUGAAAAUCAAAACCACAACCAAAGUAUUGAUGCGGUUUUUAUUCGGUUCGGUUUUUAUUCGGUGCGAUUUUAUAUGGUUUUUGGUUCGGUUUCGGUUUUCGGUUUCCAGUUCGAUUUCUGCUCAACCCUAAUAAAUAGUACCAAUUCGAUAGAUACCCGACCCGUUCUGAUCAAAAUGGACUGAACUGAAUCAGAAGUACGAAUAUAGAUCCGGAUUUGAAUUUAAUUUUUAGACCCGGAUAAAGUGCGGAUCGGGUUUAUUAUUCACUGAGGCAUUAACAUAUUUAUGAACUUCUUUCAAUGAUCUUGUAAUUUCUUUAGUUUACUGAUCAUCUAAUUCUGUAUGUAUUUUUUCUUCAAUUUGUCGAUUAUGUAUCAUACUUUAUUUAUUAUUUCCUGUCUUGUUUAUAGUGUUCAGAUAUCGCUAUUACAAACUAUGUUACAUUAUGCCUUACACUACCACCGAAGACUUAUAACACGGUGCCAAUUAACCAUAUUUAUAUUUGGAAGUCUAUAUAUAGAGCUAAAUAGUUCUUUUAAAACUAACAACACAUAUUGUAAUUAUGCACACUGCUCACAUAAACAUUCUGCAAAGUAUAUAAAUUUGGUUAAAUUUAUUUUUUACUUAUAAAAUUUAUUAUUAAUUUUUAUAAUAUUUUAUUUAAAUUUGUAUUAGUUUAUAAAAUGAAUUUAAAAUAAAAUUUUGAAUUUAAAUUUAAGUGGACGCGGCACCUGAUUUGGGCACCCAGACGCGAGCACCCCACACACUAGCACAAGGCACGAGCAUCGGGCGUCAACGCCCAUGUAAGAGCCACAAGGAACUCGAGCCACACAAACAACACUAGACAAGGUGGUGGUACGUAUAUUAAUUAACGUCAUGUGUGUUGAUUCACAAGAAAUUUACAAGGCAAAAGACUUAGCGCCGAGAAGCACGAGGUCCUCUACUCGCCAAGAAACUCAGUGAUAUAGGCGUAGGCAUCAUGUGCAACACACUAAUGCAUACAUACAAGGGUNUGAAGUCAAGGUGCUUUUGUAUAAAUGUAGGGUGAUUAAUAAGAGCAUACCAUGAUUUCGAAACACACUUACAUCUUACAAGUGCCUUAACUUGAGUCCUGUAGAGUAUUUCAAGAACAAGAUCUGCUGGAAGUGUCUUUACAGUGAUGGUUUUGUUCUUCUCAGCUGCUGAUGGGGUUGAGUGAUGUUGGGGUUUGGGGGGUUUGUGAUAUCUUUUCUUUGCUUUUCCAUUUUUCACCAUUUUUUGACUUCACGGGAGCUCUAGGGUUUAAGGGGUGUUUGUUUUAAUACAGAGAAAUGGGAGUUUUAAGUUCAGUUCUGCUAUCUUCAAGUAGUAACUUCUGACAAGUGAGAGUUAAUGUGAACGACGCUCCAAGUUCCCAGAUUAA
This 2876-nucleotide long non-coding RNA is filed under the name Daucus carota (carrot). RNAcentral describes it as "long non-coding RNA (DCAR_LNC003432)". Lineage: Eukaryota; Viridiplantae; Streptophyta; Magnoliopsida; Apiales; Apiaceae. The record is from RNAcentral.